This is a long non-coding RNA of Eriocheir sinensis (Chinese mitten crab), 468 nucleotides long. RefSeq lists it as uncharacterized. The transcript is spliced from 3 exons. The record is from RefSeq and is a predicted model, not a curated record. Lineage: Eukaryota; Metazoa; Arthropoda; Malacostraca; Decapoda; Varunidae.
GGGAUAGGAUUUGAUUAGGUUAGGUAAGGUUAGGUUAGGUAAGGUUGGGAUAGGAUUUGAUUAGGUUAGGUAAGGUUAGGUUAGGUAAGGUUGGGAUAGGAUUUGAUUUGGUUAGGUAAGGUUAGGUUAAGUUAGGUAAGGUUGGGAUAGGAUUUGAUUAGGUUAGGUAAGGUAAGGUUAGGGUUUAGGUAAGGUUAGGUAAGGUUAGGAUACGAUUUGGAUAGGUUAGGUAAGGUAAGGCUGGGAUACGAUUUGGAUAGGUUAGGUAAGGCUGGGAUACGAUUUGGAUAGGUUAGGUAAGGUUAGGUAAGGUUAGGUAGGAAGGAAGGGAGAGAGGGAGGGAGAGGCAAGGUCAGGUCAGGCAGGGCUUAGGUAAGGUUAUGUGUGUUUGAAGAUGCCCUAAACUUAACCUAACUUUCCAUACAACAAAGUGAGGUCAUUCUCCAUUGAUUUACGCCACAAGCCGCC